RNAcentral lists this ribosomal RNA (530 nucleotides) under Salmonella enterica subsp. enterica serovar Kentucky. RNAcentral's name for it is "bacterial LSU rRNA". It matches the Rfam family "Bacterial large subunit ribosomal RNA", at positions 1272 to 1786 of the family's 2925-position model. The record is from RNAcentral. Lineage: Bacteria; Pseudomonadati; Pseudomonadota; Gammaproteobacteria; Enterobacterales; Enterobacteriaceae.
UGCUGGAGGUAUCAGAAGUGCGAAUGCUGACAUAAGUAACGAUAAAGCGGGUGAAAAGCCCGCUCGCCGGAAGACCAAGGGUUCCUGUCCAACGUUAAUCGGGGCAGGGUGAGUCGACCCCUAAGGCGAGGCCGAAAGGCGUAGUCGAUGGGAAACRGGUUAAUAUUCCCGUACUUGGUGUUACUGCGAAGGGGGGACGGAGAAGGCUAUGUUGGCCGGGCGACGGUUGUCCCGGUUUAAGCGUGUAGGCUGGUUUUCCAGGCAAAUCCGGAAAAUCAAGGCUGAGGCGUGACGACGAGGCACUACGGUGCUGAAGCAACAAAUGCCCUGCUUCCAGGAAAAGCCUCUAAGCAUCAGGUAACAUCAAAUCGUACCCCAAACCGACACAGGUGGUCAGGUAGAGAAUACCAAGGCGCUUGAGAGAACUCGGGUGAAGGAACUAGGCAAAAUGGUGCCGUAACUUCGGGAGAAGGCACGCUGACACGUAGGUGAAGUGAUUUACUCACGGAGCUGAAGUCAGUCGAAGAUAC